This 253-nucleotide ribosomal RNA is filed under the name uncultured bacterium. Its description in RNAcentral is "partial 16S ribosomal RNA". It matches the Rfam family "Bacterial small subunit ribosomal RNA", at positions 524 to 776 of the family's 1533-position model. The record is from RNAcentral.
UACAGAGGUCUCAAGCGUUGUUCGGAUUCAUUGGGCGUGAAGGGUGCGUAGGCGGCGCGGUAAGUCGGGUGUGAAAUCUUGGAGCUUAACUCCGAAACUGCAUUCGAUACUGCCGUGCUUGAGGACUGGAGAGGAGACUGGAAUUUACGGUGUAGCGGUGAAAUGCGUAGAUAUCGUAAGGAAGACCAGUGGCGAAGGCGGGUCUCUGGACAGUUCCUGACGCUGAGGCGCGAAAGCGUGGGGAGCAAACGGG